CCUACGGGAGGCAGCAGUGAGGAAUAUUGGUCAAUGGGCGUAAGUCUGAACCAGCCAUGCCGCGUGCAGGAUGAAGGCUCUAUGGAUUGUAAACUUCUUUUGUACGAGGGUAAACUCCGAUACGUGUACCGUGUUGUAUGUAUCUUACGAAUAAGGAUCGGCUAACUCCGUGCCAGCAGCCGCGGUAAUACGGAGGAUCCGAGCGUUAUCCGGAUUUAUUGGGUUUAAAGGGUGCGUAGGCGGUUUGAUAAGUUAGCGGUGAAAUGUCGGGGCUCAACCCCGAAAUUGCCGUUGAUACUGUUGGACUAGAGAAUAGUUGCGGUAGGCGGAAUGUAUGGUGUAGCGGUGAAAUGCUUAGAGAUCAUACAGAACACCGAUUGCGAAGGCAGCUUACCAAGCUAUAACUGACGUUGAGGCACGAAAGCGUGGGUAGCAAACAGGAUUAGAUACCCGGGUAGUC
This 460-nucleotide ribosomal RNA is filed under the name uncultured bacterium. RNAcentral describes it as "partial 16S ribosomal RNA". It matches the Rfam family "Bacterial small subunit ribosomal RNA", at positions 338 to 795 of the family's 1533-position model. The record is from RNAcentral.